Trematomus bernacchii (emerald rockcod) is the source of this 347-nucleotide long non-coding RNA. RefSeq lists it as uncharacterized. The transcript has 3 exons. NCBI's taxonomy places the organism in Eukaryota, Metazoa, Chordata, Actinopteri, Perciformes, Nototheniidae. The record is from RefSeq and is a predicted model, not a curated record.
CCCGGGAGGAAACCGGGAGAGGGCAAUGAAAUCGGGAGUCUCCCGCGAAAAUCGGCAGGGUUGGCAAGUAUGGUGGCCACAGCGCUGAUGGGACGCCUCAACACUGGAGAUCAUGUAGCACUCGUCUACCCCCCAGGAAUCAACCUGAUUGCCACUUUCUACGGCUGCCUGUACGCCGGCUGUGUGCCAGUCACUGUCAGACCCCCCCCACCCCCAGAACCUCGCGACCACCCUGCCCACCGUCAAGAUGAUUGUUGAGGUCAGUAAGUCGGUGUGUAUCCUAACCAGUCAAGCAAUUAUGAAGCUGCUGAAAUCCAAAGAGGCUGCGGCUGCCGUGGACAUCAAGA